Rhinolophus ferrumequinum (greater horseshoe bat) is the source of this 259-nucleotide long non-coding RNA. RefSeq lists it as uncharacterized. NCBI's taxonomy places the organism in Eukaryota, Metazoa, Chordata, Mammalia, Chiroptera, Rhinolophidae. The transcript has 2 exons. The record is from RefSeq and is a predicted model, not a curated record.
CUUAGACAGACCUGGCCCCGGCCAGGACCCCGAAACUCAGAGGCUACUUCCGGAAACAGCCGCCAGGAGGCGCCUGGGACCAGUGCUAAAGUGAGAAUCGUUAGCGACCUGAGAGAUUGGGACGCCUAGACGCCUAGAGUUUGCGUGAUCAUCCCGAAGAAAAGGAGCCUGGCUCCUCCCCUGACUAAAUGAAGCUUUAUUGAGAACUGAAAUAAAGACAAGGAUGCUGAUAUUCCAUCCUGGGGUCAGCAAAAUGGUA